RNAcentral lists this long non-coding RNA (383 nucleotides) under Gossypium raimondii (Peruvian cotton). RNAcentral describes it as "long non-coding RNA (GRAI_LNC001054)". The record is from RNAcentral. Lineage: Eukaryota; Viridiplantae; Streptophyta; Magnoliopsida; Malvales; Malvaceae.
AAAAAUGUUCCUUCUAACUUACUGGUUGCAUUUAUGGGUCUCCCUCUUUCAUGGUUCUGUUUGGUGUUGCAAAUUUUAAUGCAUUACCUGUGCUCUGUGAAUUUUUGUUUUCCUUUUUGUUAUUUAUGUAAUGGGAAAUUUGAGGAAAGUGAAUUGGGGCUUCCCAUACUGAAAGGGGCAUACAUGGUCAAUCAACGGCCAAUUUUUCUUUUUAUGACAGUUCUUUUUCCCUUUCUUUUCUUUCCUCUUUGUAUGGGAUUCACAACAUUUAUUGGUGGUAAAAUGUGGUUACAUGGUCUUACAAAUAUGUUACUAGUAAUUCAUUUUGAAAUUAAUGUGCACAAGAAGAUUAAUGCUUGUUUGUCUUUCCUAUCAACUACCAG